AGCUGCCAAGGUUCCCCUGCUAGUUGGUCCCUGGGAAUCUGCUAAACAACAAUAAUCAGAAACAAGGACAGAGACCCCAGUGCAGGAUUCUCAACUGGGGAUUGACCAGAAGAUUAGAUCCUGCAACCACUAUCUAUGUUUGCCCACAGGACUGAAGGAUGGGGAAAACUCCUCUUUGUUUAUCCCCACAGAAACUCAUGAAGACCAUCUCCCAAGCUAUGAAGUGUCACGGUCUGAAUCCCUGGAAGCCGUCCACCCCCACAUCCCUAUUGGCACGCUGGGAUGAGAAAUCCCUCAUUUCCCCAGUGGAAUCAGAGGAUCCCCCAUUGGAACCUGGACAGCCCACCUAGCCCAAACUCCUUCCUUCUGCAGGGAAAUAGACUGAGGCAUAGGCAGGUAAAGCUACUUACUCCUUAGAGGAGAGUGUCAGGCUUGCUGCACAGACUAAAUUGGCCAAACUCUGCUCCCUUUUUUAAAACAUAAAAAUUAAAACAAAGCAAUACCAUCUGACGCUGCUUCUUUUCUGCUCUAGGAGUCAAGGAGGCUGGUUCUGAGUCACUGUCCGUGACCUUUCAGGAGUCCCACCCUUUCUUAAGCCUCAAUUUUCUCCCCCAGAAAAUGGGAACCAUGGACUAAAUAAUCUCUAGCAUAAUCCCCUUCUGGAUGAAUUUUGCGAUGAAUCUAUGAGUGAUAUACCCUCCAUUCAACUCCAUGUUCAUCUCCUCGAGGACACAGAAAGGAUGAUAGUUCUUAACAUUAUUGUGAACUGGAGAUUUUAAAUGUUACUGAAUGCAAAACUUUUAUCUGGAAAAUGUUCAUAAAACCAAUAAAUAAAACAAAUGAUUUACAGAGAAUGAUUUGCCCUAUGUCAGACAAGUACUAAGUAUAUGAGGAGACAUUUGAAUCCAGGUCUCUUAGACUCUAAAAUUCACUGCUCUAACCAUUAUGCAAAGCUGCCUCGCUCAUAGUCUUUUAUCUUUUAAUUUCUUCUAGCACACAGCACAGUGAUUUGUUCUGACAAGGUUAAUUGGAUAAUUCAGUUGUAUGAAGGAAAGUCUCUAUGCCAAGCAUUUGAAGGGUCCUUGGAAGACAUCUCAUUCAACCCAUAAGUAAUCAAAAAUCCCAUCAACAACACCCCCAGUCUCAUCUCCUGAGCCUGUCCACUCCUGAAACGUUUACAAAAUUUGGUUUUUUUUAAUGUUUAGUUAAAAUCCACUUUCCUUAUUCUGAUUGUUCUCCCAUAUAUUUAAUAUAUUAUGUAUAUAUCAAUUUAUUAUGUGUUAAUAUGUAUAAUAACAUUUUAUAUUUAUCUAAAAAUAAAA
Molecule: long non-coding RNA, 1322 nt
Organism: Antechinus flavipes (yellow-footed antechinus)
Lineage: Eukaryota; Metazoa; Chordata; Mammalia; Dasyuromorphia; Dasyuridae
Exons: 2
Source: RefSeq, a predicted model, not a curated record